GAUGAACGCUGGCGGCGUGCCCAAUACAUGCAAGUCGAGCGAACGGACGAGAAGCUUGCUUUUCUGAUGUUAGCGGCGGACGGGUGAGUAACACGUGGAUAACCUACCUAUAAGACUGGGAUAACUUCGGGAAACCGGAGCUAAUACCGGAUAAUAUUUUGAACCGCAUGGUUCAAAAGUGAAAGACGGUCUUGCUGUCACUUAUAGAUGGAUCCGCGCUGCAUUAGCUAGUUGGUAAGGUAACGGCUUACCAAGGCAACGAUGCAUAGCCGACCUGAGAGGGUGAUCGGCCACACUGGAACUGAGACACGGUCCAGACUCCUACGGGAGGCAGCAGUAGGGAAUCUUCCGCAAAGGGCGAAAGCCUGACGGAGCAACGCCGCGUGAGUGAUGAAGGUCUUCGGAUCGUAAAACUCUGUUAUUAGGGAAGAACAUAUGUGUAAGUAACUGUGCACAUCUUGACGCUACCUAAUCAGAAAGCCACGGCUAACUACGUG
RNAcentral lists this ribosomal RNA (497 nucleotides) under uncultured bacterium. RNAcentral describes it as "partial 16S ribosomal RNA". It matches the Rfam family "Bacterial small subunit ribosomal RNA", at positions 28 to 507 of the family's 1533-position model. The record is from RNAcentral.